CAAAGAUGUUAUAAUUAUACAUAUAUGCAGAUGUAUUUACAUUUUUGAUAAUGAUUUUUUGAUGUAUCUUUGUUAUUUAUUAUUCAUAGAAAAUACACCUGACUCCAUCCAUUGACUUCUAUAAGAAAUUAGCCUUGGACUGUUCUGGUCAACAGGUAGCUGUUGACUUAUUCCUUCUCAGUGGACAGUAUUCUGAUUUGGCUUCUCCGGGUAAGUUCUUCAUGAUUGUUUUCUUCAGUGAAUGGUGAAAUGACAUAUGACGUUAUUCUAAGUAGAAGGCAAUGUAAGAGCAUUUAUUCCCUUGAAUAAUGCCCAGGCUGGUCUCAAUUUCCCCUUCCCCCAGCCUUCUAAGCAGCUGGGGCUGCAGGUGUGCACAAUAGCCUCCUGCUGAUCAGUUUAACCAGUAAUAAAUCUUAUAGUGGGCUAUGCUAAUUUAGUAGGAGAGAAAUAGAGAAGUUUCUAUACCACUAAUGGAUUAUUCUUUUUGACAGGACCUUGAGAAGUUAGAGAAAAGCUGAGUGAAAUGCCUGCAGUUACUUUGGUGUGGUAAUAGUAGCAUCAUUUAAAAGGAGUUUGUGGGAGUGUCAGAAGGAGGAGCAUUUGGGGUUGGGAACCAGCAGGAGUCUGGAGGAUGAGAGGGACUUCCUGUCUCUGCCCAAUGUCAACCCAGAUGCCAGGUAUACAGUACAGAUGUCAGCGGAAAAGAGUCUUCCUGACAUGCAGUUGGGUUCUUUUCAGUCAGCACUCUUGUAUACAUCAAGCAAAGGUGAAAGAAGAAUACUAUCCGUACUUUGUGUUUGCCAGUAGUUUCAACUCUGAAUGA
This 823-nucleotide long non-coding RNA is filed under the name Castor canadensis (American beaver). RNAcentral's name for it is "lncRNA (ENSCCNG00000016440.1)". Lineage: Eukaryota; Metazoa; Chordata; Mammalia; Rodentia; Castoridae. The record is from RNAcentral.